UGCCCUUAGUGGGUUUGGAUGCGGCUGACAAAUUUAGAAAGCCUAUGUGUUGUCAUCAGCUUCUUCACUUAAUUCGAGGAGUUGGAGUUGUUGAGUCACAGCACUAAAUUU
Molecule: non-coding RNA, 111 nt
Organism: Eucalyptus grandis
Lineage: Eukaryota; Viridiplantae; Streptophyta; Magnoliopsida; Myrtales; Myrtaceae
Source: Rfam